GAUGAACGCUGGCGGCGUGCCUAACACAUGCAAGUCGAGCGAUUCUCUUCGGAGAAGAGCGGCGGACGGGUGAGUAACGCGUGGGUAACCUGCCCUGUACACACGGAUAACAUACCGAAAGGUAUGCUAAUACGAGAUAAUAUGCUUUUAUCGCAUGGUAGAAGUAUCAAAGCUCCGGCGGUACAGGAUGGACCCGCGUCUGAUUAGCUAGUUGGUAAGGUAACGGCUUACCAAGGCGACGAUCAGUAGCCGACCUGAGAGGGUGAUCGGCCACAUUGGAACUGAGACACGGUCCAAACUCCUACGGGAGGCAGCAGUGGGGAAUAUUGCACAAUGGGCGAAAGCCUGAUGCAGCAACGCCGCGUGAGCGAUGAAGGCCUUCGGGUCGUAAAGCUCUGUCCUCAAGGAAGAUAAUGACGGUACUUGAGGAGGAAGCCCCGGCUAACUACGUGCCAGCAGCCGCGGUAAUACGUAGGGGGCUAGCGUUAUCCGGAAUUACUGGGCGUAAAGGGUGCGUAGGUGGUUUCUUAAGUCAGAGGUGAAAGGCUACGGCUCAACCGUAGUAAGCCUUUGAAACUGGGAAACUUGAGUGCAGGAGAGGAGAGUGGAAUUCCUAGUGUAGCGGUGAAAUGCGUAGAUAUUAGGAGGAACACCAGUUGCGAAGGCGGCUCUCUGGACUGUAACUGACACUGAGGCACGAAAGCGUGGGGAGCAAACAGGAUUAGAUACCCUGGUAGUCCACGCCGUAAACG
This 752-nucleotide ribosomal RNA is filed under the name uncultured bacterium. Its description in RNAcentral is "bacterial SSU rRNA". It matches the Rfam family "Bacterial small subunit ribosomal RNA", at positions 28 to 808 of the family's 1533-position model. The record is from RNAcentral.